This 490-nucleotide ribosomal RNA is filed under the name uncultured bacterium. RNAcentral's name for it is "partial 16S ribosomal RNA". It matches the Rfam family "Bacterial small subunit ribosomal RNA", at positions 30 to 507 of the family's 1533-position model. The record is from RNAcentral.
AUUGAACGCUGGCGGCAUGCUUUACACAUGCAAGUCGAACGGCAGCGGGGUAGUGCUUGCACUACUGCCGGCGAGUGGCGAACGGGUGAGAAAUAUAUCGGAACGUACCGAGUAAUGGGGGAUAACCAAUCGAAAGAUUGGCUAAUACCGCAUACGUCCUGAGGGAGAAAGCGGGGGAUCGCAAGACCUCGCGUUAUUCGAGCGGCCGAUAACUGAUUAGCUAGUUGGUGGGGUAAAGGCCUACCAAGGCGACGAUCAGUAGCGGGUCUGAGAGGACGAUCCGCCACACGGGGACUGAGACACGGCCCAGACUCCUACGGGAGGCAGCAGUGGGGAAUUUUGGACAAUGGGGGCAACCCUGAUCCAGCCAUGCCGCGUGUAUGAAGAAGGCCUUCGGGUUGUAAAGUACUUUUGUUAGGGAAGAAAAGGGAAGUGCUAAUACCACUUUUUGCUGACGGUACCUAAAGAAUAAGCACCGGCUAACUACGUG